RNAcentral lists this ribosomal RNA (404 nucleotides) under Actinomycetes bacterium. Its description in RNAcentral is "Actinobacteria bacterium partial 16S ribosomal RNA". It matches the Rfam family "Bacterial small subunit ribosomal RNA", at positions 355 to 776 of the family's 1533-position model. Lineage: Bacteria; Bacillati; Actinomycetota; Actinomycetes. The record is from RNAcentral.
UGGGGAAUAUUGGACAAUGGGCGCAAGCCUGAUCCAGCCAUGCCGCGUGAGUGAUGAAGGCCCUAGGGUUGUAAAGCUCUUUCACCGGUGAAGAUAAUGACGGUAACCGGAGAAGAAGCCCCGGCUAACUUCGUGCCAGCAGCCGCGGUAAUACGAAGGGGGCUAGCGUUGUUCGGAUUUACUGGGCGUAAAGCGCACGUAGGCGGACUAUUAAGUCAGGGGUGAAAUCCCGGGGCUCAACCCCGGAACGGCCUUUGAUACUGGUAGUCUUGAGUUCGAGAGAGGGGAGUGGAAUGCCGAGUGUAGAGGUGAAAUUCGUGGAUAUUCGGAGGAACACCAGUGGCGAAGGCGGCUCACUGGCUGGAUACUGACGCUGAGGUGCGAAAGCGUGGGGAGCAAACAGG